AGUGAACGCUGGCGGUAGGCCUAACACAUGCAAGUCGAACGGCAGCACAGUAAGAGCUUGCUCUUACGGGUGGCGAGUGGCGGACGGGUGAGGAAUACAUCGGAACCUACUUUUUCGUGGGGGAUAACGUAGGGAAACUUACGCUAAUACCGCAUACGACCUACGGGUGAAAGCAGUGGAUCUUCGGACCUUGCGCGAUUGAAUGAGCCGAUGUCGGAUUAGCUAGUUGGCGGGGUAAAGGCCCACCAAGGCGACGAUCCGUAGCUGGUCUGAGAGGAUGAUCAGCCACACUGGAACUGAGACACGGUCCAGACUCCUACGGGAGGCAGCAGUGGGGAAUAUUGGACAAUGGGCGCAAGCCUGAUCCAGCCAUACCGCGUGGGUGAAGAAGGCCUUCGGGUUGUAAAGCCCUUUUGUUGGGAAAGAAAAGCAGCAGGUUAAUACCCCGCUGUUCUGACGGUACCCAAAGAAUAAGCACCGGCUAACUUCGUG
Molecule: ribosomal RNA, 492 nt
Filed under: uncultured bacterium
Lineage: Bacteria
Description: partial 16S ribosomal RNA
Rfam family: Bacterial small subunit ribosomal RNA
Source: RNAcentral